This 1738-nucleotide unclassified non-coding RNA is filed under the name Caenorhabditis elegans. RNAcentral describes it as "Non-coding transcript of protein-coding gene ZK546.2c". Lineage: Eukaryota; Metazoa; Nematoda; Chromadorea; Rhabditida; Rhabditidae. The record is from RNAcentral.
AUGGGAAUUGAUUCCUACAAUCCAACAGUGCGUGCACGCCUUGCAAAUGCUUCUAAAACGCGAGUCCUGAGCCUGAAGGAGUCUGCCCUGCACCGUAUUCCUGAUGACGUGAAAGAUCUAACAAUGUUGAAGCAUCUGGAUAUGAGUAUUAAUUAUCUGACUCAACUUCCCCCGUUUAUUGGGUCAAUGUCUCAUCUUAAGAAUUUAAAUUUGUCCAGAAAUCAACUAGAAUCUCUUCCUUUGGAGAUCAACUCCCUGGCGUGUCUUGAAGUUUUAAAUGUCUCACAAAACAAACUGACAGAGCUUCCCGAUCUGUCACAGUGUGUCUCAUUAAAGACAGUAGAGGCGAUAGAAAACCAAUUCAUCAUCUUCCCAGCUGGUGUGUGCAAAUGUCCAAAUCUCGAAACAUGCUUGUUAACUGAAAAUCGGAUCGAGAAACUUCCAGACGAAAUUCAUUCGCUACGGGCAAUUAGCGUGAUCCUCAACAAAAACCGGCUUCUCUCUCUCAACACCGCUAAUUUGCUUCGCUGUGAACGCUUGCGUGCAGUAAACGUGGACGAUAACCAACUAAAUCGCGACGAAAUUGAACAAUUCCUUGUGAAUGCGCCACGAGAAAUUCGUAUUUCAUUUGAAAGAAAUGUUUCGCAAAUGCAUACAACUGAUUUGCAGGUUUGUUCGGGUUCAAUUUUUAUUUUUAUCUAUACUACAUGCCUUACUGACUCAUAAUAACAAUUAAAAACAUUUUCCCACUUUUUGAAUAGCAAAAUAUAUUGAAAAACAAUAAAAGUACUUUGCCAGAAAUUGUAUAAAAUCUAAAUUUAGUUCGAACAGAAUUCUGUGCAUUUUACAUCCACGGUGUUUGCACAUUAUGCGCCGAAUUUGACGACAACUAACCAACUCGAUUUUUAUUUUUGCUCUCUGGUUGAUUUUUGAUUUCUUCUUUGCAGGAAAUGGGAAACGAUUCAUCUAAAACAAAAUCAAUUGGUGAUAAUGCACGGAAGAUUAUUGGAAAAUCCGGUCCAUCGACAUCAACGGUCAAUAAGCAUCUCGAAAUGGCAAGCAAAAGUCGGAUUCUUCAGCUAAAAGGAACUGGGCUCAAGAAAGUUCCUGACGAAAUCGAACCAUUAGCUGAUGUUCUCCGCAACUUGGAACUCAGUGAAAACAAAAUUCGAGAAAUUCCUAUCUUUAUUGGUCAAUUUUCUCAACUCAAGCAACUUCAUUUGGCUAAUAACUGUCUUGAAUUUCUACCUGAUGAACUUGGAUCGAUGAAAAAGCUGGAGAUUUUGAAUUUGGCGGGAAACAAGCUGAAAGCGUUGCCCGACACAAUUGUCGGUUGCACCGAUUUGAAAACCAUCGACUUAUCAUCCAACGUUUUCACCGUUUUUCCUGUAGCAGUGAUUGGCUGUUUGCAAUUGGAUAUACUCAAUUUAAAUGGAAACCAAAUUGAAUCUCUCCCUGACGAUAUAUCCAAUUUGAAAGUUAUCGAGUUAAGUCUGAAUCAAAAUCGACUGAGCUCCUUAAAUCCAUCAAAUCUUGCCAAAACUACACGACUGAGGACUCUUCGUCUCGAUGAAAACUGUUUGGAGAAGUCGGAGUUCACUCGCGAUUUACUAGAAUCUUCAACAAUUUCCGUGAUGUCAUACGACGGAAAUCGAUUCCAAUUGAAAGAUUUUCAAGAUUUACCAGGAUAUGAUGCUUAUCAAGAACGUUUCACUGCUACUAAACGUAAAAUCUAAAG